GUUUACAAAGCUAUGAACAGAGCAGGAGAUAAGAAAUUACAAGUUAAACAGUAGUUUUCAUACAGGAAGUGUAAACAUUAGAUAACUCUUUACAGGACGUGUUUUGGAAGGCUGUGUAAGUCACAUGCAGGGAGGUGUGACUAGGGCUGUAUAAAUAAAGUGAUUUAACUCCUAAAUGGCAGAGAAUUGAGCAGUGAGACUGCGGGAAC
Non-coding RNA from Pelobates cultripes (western spadefoot toad), 209 nucleotides. The record is from the annotation of a GenBank genome assembly. Lineage: Eukaryota; Metazoa; Chordata; Amphibia; Anura; Pelobatidae.